AAAUACAAGUACCACAGUGUAAAAAAUCAUAUAACCAUAGACUCCCCGCUACCCAGCCUUCUGAGAAGAAUGAACUGUACGCCCUGGGCUCGAGGGCAGGAGUAGGCUGUUGGCGCGUUCCUCCACCAGCAUCUGCACAGCACUGGGCAGGCAGUAGGUAUUUCGUACGUAUGCCACAUCGCGGAGCUGAACUGAGGUCUACUUGGUCAAGAAAUCCAAAUUUAUAUGAUUAUGAAGUUUCACAUAGUUGUGAUGCAAUCCCAACAUCACAACGACCUGACAUCAAAACCCUACUGGUGCGACCUGCUCUUCUUGACCAUUCAGCAGGUGUUGGGGGGGGGGUCUCUCGGUGCCCAUAAGUAUAAUUACCAAUACCAUUUUUUCACUGUCAUGGUACAUACAGAGAAGUACCUGUCAAUAUAGAGCUCAGCCCAACUGGUUUAAGUGACCACAUUGGUAUAGAUCACUAAACAAACGAAACGGAUUCUUGAAUAUUGAUUUGCUAAAUUUAUGCCCUGUUCGAACUAUAGAGUAAGUAUCAUCUCAGUCAAAACCUCGACUGGCUUUUUUGUAGAAAUUGACAAGCCAAUUUUCAUAUUCAUAUGGAAAUGCAGGGGACCGAGGAAAAUCAGAAUGAGCUUGGAAGAGAACCACACUGAAAGACAUCCCUCAGGGGCUUCAGAGAUGGGGAGAGGCACAUUCCCACCUGGUGUGCUCCGGGGGCAGGAAGAGGGUCGAUGGGGGUCCCCAGAUGUGCCUCCCGCACACACGUCGUGGAAGCUGUCGCAGAGGAGCUGCGGGUAUUUACCUGCUUGGUCAAGGCAGUGCUCCCAGAAAGGCAGCCGUCAGAAGGUGACCAGAGGGCGGACAGGCCCUACACAAGUUGCCAUACAUUCCUGUGUUCUCCAUCAUGUUUAUCUGAGUUUGAGAAGAGCACUAGGGAUGGCCUGGUUGGGGGCAGGUGUGAAGGCACACGGCCCUUGCAGUGACUGGUGUCCCAUGGCUGGCCACCCAUACACCAGUUGGCCUUGGCACCAAGGUCCAGCUGUGUCUCCUCCUCCACGCCACCUUUCUGAAUCUCUGUGCUGACAUUGGUGUCCCCCAAAGGUGCGCAUGGAAAACAUGCAAAAUGCAGACUGUAGGACAGACGUGAAUUAAACAGCACAGCUGAAGCUGGCUUCUGAACAGAGGGACCUCGUCGCCCCAGCUCAGCCAUGUCUGGAGCUCCCUGCGGCCUCUCAGCAUCCUGGGCAUGGCUGGUCCUCCUGACUCCCGUGCUACUUGACCGCCCACAUGUGUGUUCACUGCCACAUCCACUCAGCAAGCAUUUCCUGUACCCGGCCUCAUUCCUGUGCUGGAAGCCAAGGGCGCACCAAGAGCAAAGGGGCCACAGGCUGCCUGUCAGGCCAAGGAGGGGAGGAGGCCUGAUGCCAGCCAUCAGCACGCCCCACCUGGGGCAGCAGCUUCUCUCACAGAGAGUCAGUCCCUUCCCCGACACCCUCCUCCCACCACACACACGCCCAGCCCCCCACAUGCAAGACCCCCGCUUCCAUCAGCCACCCUGACACCUGCCAAGCAGUGAGAAUUGCUCCUUCCCCAGAGCCGCCUCAUUCCCAGCUCGCGGUGGGACAGUCCUUGUGCGCGUAUGUUCUCCUGCUGGGGCUCAGCCUCCGUGCAGCUCCCGAUAGUUCUCAGCACCUGCCUGAUGCAGUUAGUUUGGGAAAGUGAUGUCAUGAAUACUGAUUCCAAUGGGUUGCCAUUCGUUGACCCAUGCAGAAACCUUCCUGAGUUUAUGAGGGUCAGGAUGAAACCCCUCCUCAUCCUGGAGGUCUGUGAGCUAUGGGUGGGGCAUGGAAAAGAAAGCAGGCCGUCGGGACAGGUGCAUGAAAGAGAGGUGAUGCCCUGGACAGCAUUCCGAUGGCCCACAUCAAAGCUGUACUGGGCACAUGGCCUGGGCCCUUAGCCGCAUAUCCAAGCACCUAGCUAAGAGAAAAAACCCAAAAGCUUUAAAAACCCUUUAAAGCCUGGUUCAAUUCAAUAAUACCUGUGGAGAGCUACACCCAUUGGAGACAGACACUGCUUCAUUUGGGAAAUAAAAAUACAAGAAAACAGAGAUCCCGCCUCUAA
Molecule: long non-coding RNA, 2127 nt
Filed under: Ursus maritimus (polar bear)
Lineage: Eukaryota; Metazoa; Chordata; Mammalia; Carnivora; Ursidae
Description: lncRNA (ENSUMAG00000017745.1)
Source: RNAcentral